Molecule: ribosomal RNA, 290 nt
Filed under: uncultured bacterium
Lineage: Bacteria
Description: partial 16S ribosomal RNA
Rfam family: Bacterial small subunit ribosomal RNA
Source: RNAcentral
GGAUUAGAUACCCUGGUAGUCCACGCCGUAAACGGUGGGCGCUAGUUGUGCGAACCUUCCACGGUUUGUGCGACGCAGCUAACGCAUUAAGCGCCCCGCCUGGGGAGUACGAUCGCAAGAUUAAAACUCAAAGGAAUUGACGGGGCCCCGCACAAGCAGCGGAGCAUGCGGCUUAAUUCGACGCAACGCGAAGAACCUUACCAAGGCUUGACAUAUACAGGAAUAUGGCAGAGAUGUCAUAGCCGCAAGGUCUGUAUACAGGUGGUGCAUGGUUGUCGUCAGCUCGUGCC